UUGUUCUUGUUCUUAUAUUAUUUCAUAACACGUUAUCAGCACGAGUCUCUAACCAAUUGAAUUUGAUUUCUUCCUCCUACAGAAUUUUUAUACGGAAAAAUUAAGAAGAGCAGAAGGACGAGUAUUGUUGUUGUUGUCUUGUUGAAGAUGAUAGAAUAGUUAUUUCUUGGAUUAUAGUUCUUAUCUCCCUAUACGCAUUAUUGUUCAUAGGCCUCAAUUCUUAUUUAUUCUUCACAAUCUGUUUUCACUGUAUGCUUUUGUCCUUCUUAUUGUUUUGUAGAAUGAUGCUCCGAAGAAUAAUAAGGUACAAGAAAUUAUUUUCUUGAAGAUUGGAUUGUCUUUUGAACUUUGUGUACAGGAACAAUCCAAUGGAAUGGGACAGUGGAAAGAAAGCAUUGUCAUAACUUGACUUUAGCAAAGACGAUAAAUUUUGAUUGCAACUCUAAUGGAGUUUGUAAGAAAUUACACUCACAUG
RNAcentral lists this long non-coding RNA (475 nucleotides) under Nicotiana benthamiana. RNAcentral describes it as "long non-coding RNA (NBEN_LNC030999)". The record is from RNAcentral. Lineage: Eukaryota; Viridiplantae; Streptophyta; Magnoliopsida; Solanales; Solanaceae.